GGGAAUACAGGUUUGAAGAUUUCAUAUGCUUACUUAUAAUCCAUCUUUUUUAUCUCAAGCAGUUCAGUCUUGAUAGAAUUUUAUACUUUUCUCAAUGAAUUCAUAACUUUGUUAAUGAAACUGCUAGCUUGUGCUGAAUUUGACUAUUUCAUUAGUUAGUUGGCAUUUGUCGCUAAGUAGAAAUUCUGGACAGUUCUUUUAAACGGGCAUUUGUUAUUAACGUCUGUUUCUUAUUGGGUUUGAACUUUUUGGCUCAACUAAAUUACUAUUUAACUUCUGAGCAUAUCGUUAGGGGGGAUUAGAUUUAGGCACCUAUAUUACUAAAAGAAUUAUCAAUUCCUGCACUGUUCUUGCUGUUGCUACUUGUUUCAAGUGGAU
RNAcentral lists this unclassified non-coding RNA (378 nucleotides) under Hevea brasiliensis (rubber tree). The record is from RNAcentral. Lineage: Eukaryota; Viridiplantae; Streptophyta; Magnoliopsida; Malpighiales; Euphorbiaceae.